GUCUACAAUCAUGUCACCCUGAACAAGCCCGAUGUCUGAUCUCGGAAGCUAAGCAGGGUCAGGCCUGGUUAGUACUUGGAUGGGAGACCACCUAGGAAGACCAGGCAUAAAUAAUAGGCA
Non-coding RNA from Pteropus alecto (black flying fox), 120 nucleotides. Lineage: Eukaryota; Metazoa; Chordata; Mammalia; Chiroptera; Pteropodidae. The record is from Rfam.